UACAGAGGUCUCAAGCGUUGUUCGGAUUCAUUGGGCGUAAAGGGUGCGUAGGUGGCGCUGUAAGUCGGGUGUGAAAUUUCGGAGCUUAACUCCGAAACUGCAUUCGAUACUGCGGUGCUUGAGGACUGGAGAGGAGACUGGAAUUCAUGGUGUAGCAGUGAAAUGCGUAGAGAUCAGUGGAGAGACCGUGGCGAAGGCGGGUCU
RNAcentral lists this ribosomal RNA (204 nucleotides) under uncultured bacterium. RNAcentral describes it as "partial 16S ribosomal RNA". It matches the Rfam family "Bacterial small subunit ribosomal RNA", at positions 524 to 728 of the family's 1533-position model. The record is from RNAcentral.